Long non-coding RNA from Cynoglossus semilaevis (tongue sole), 1342 nucleotides. RefSeq lists it as uncharacterized. NCBI's taxonomy places the organism in Eukaryota, Metazoa, Chordata, Actinopteri, Pleuronectiformes, Cynoglossidae. The record is from RefSeq and is a predicted model, not a curated record. The transcript is spliced from 2 exons.
ACAUUUUCCAAAAACUCUUUACAGUUGUGCUUCAACAUGAUCUGUCUUCGUUGGAGUCAUCCAUGUCAGACAACUCAUCUGAAUCACAAGACUCCUUGCAAACAUCUGACUCAUCAGAUGCAACAGUGAUCGUUCAGACUAACGGAGGGACGAGAACCCAUGCUGGAAAUCGGCAAAAAAGGUGAGCUUUUAUAAUAAAUGUUGGUACUAUCGAAUAAAAUAUUAGACACAAAGAUUCUGUGCAAUUAAACUGUGGUUUUGUUGUUGGACAUAAUUGUGAUAAUGGUGAUAGGUAUCAUUUCUAGCUGUCUGCUUUUUUUCUUUCUGUAUUUUAGACGAGAGAGAGGUUCUCCAGGCUAAAGACGGUGGACAGGUUAUUUUGGAUGAAUAUGAUCGAAUGAAAACUUUGACGGAUAGCACAAGAAGACAGAUGGUAAACCUUCUUGUGGCCAACAUUUUUACAUAAUACAGAAUUAAAUAUAAAUAAAUACAAAUAAUUUUUAAUAGAGCACACUCAUUUUAGGAGAUAUUAUAUUAUUAUUAAAGCAAUUUAUUAUUUAAUUUCUCCCAUGACAGAAAUCAUUAUUAAAGGGCUAAACCAUUCAAAAACUAUCAAUUUGACAGAGACUGAAACUCACUGAAAACACGAUAAAAUAUUUCACGUUUUGGCAAUUUUAGUGGCAAUGUCAUGUUUGUCUUUCAGGAAGAGCCCACCAGUCUCUGUGCGAAGUAAAUAUGCUUUCGGCAUCAUGGCUCUAUUUCCCAGCCUCAGAGAUACACACUCAGACAAAGGAUAUGUAAGUUUGUGAAUUGGUUAUAUUUUAAUUCAUGCAGUCAUUAAGUGUUCUGAACUUGAUCUAUAAUUUAAUGUUUUUAAUAUUACAGGAACACUUCUAUGACGCAACAGUAGAUCUGGCUACUUGGCCUGGAGGAUAAAGACUGUUCAACGGAACACUGCAGCUCAUUUCCCUAGACCCUCCACCAACACAACCUAUCAAGAUAGUCCAAAGAAAAAGAGGGAGUCUUUCUAACCUAGGAUCCUGACAGACUGCAAAAUACUGACCUCAAAUCAGCACUUUUGCUCUUGUCUGUGCAGCACGACUCAGUGACCUGUUAAGCAUUCUAUUUCUGGUUCACCUGUUCCCCCUACCUCCAAAGGACACAAGAAAAGUGCUAGAAUCAGCUCAUGUCAAGCUGCUGGCCAUGUUGUGAGAUAUUUGCAGGUAUGCAAAUAGUAGUGUAUAUAUAUUAGUGUAGACAUUGUCAUAUUUUCUGACUUUGUUGUGGCAAAGCCUGUUUUAUGUGGUGUUUGUUUGAAAUAAAAAUCUGUUUUAAAUUGCAA